UUUUUUUUUUUGUCGCACUGCAUUCUGUUUGUGUCCUGCAUGGUUAAGCGCCCCAGUAAUGGCCCCAAAGGACUCUGGGAAGAGACGUAGGAAUAUGCAGGACGCUCAUCCUCACCGGUCAGGAACCGGGGACGGAGCUUUCUAUCCGACAUCGUGGAAUGGGAUUAUACGUCUUGGCUCAGAGCUACGCUCCCAAACGCCACCAGGACAGAGCCAGAGAGCAACUCUGGGUGUCCACGUCGGAUCAGAAGGCAGAGUCACAUUUUGGGACAGGAAG
Long non-coding RNA from Thalassophryne amazonica, 277 nucleotides. RefSeq lists it as uncharacterized. The record is from RefSeq and is a predicted model, not a curated record. The transcript is spliced from 3 exons. NCBI's taxonomy places the organism in Eukaryota, Metazoa, Chordata, Actinopteri, Batrachoidiformes, Batrachoididae.